CAAACCUUUGACCUCAAAUUCGGGUGAGACUACCCGCUGAACUUAAGCAUAUCAAUAAGCGGAGGAAAAGAAACUAACAAGGAUUCCCCCUAGUAACUGCGAGUGAAGCGGGAAAAGCUCAAAUUUAAAAUCUGGUGGUCUUUGGCCAUCCGAGUUGUAAUUUAGAGAAGCGUCUUCCGCGCUGGACCGUGCAUAAGUCUCCUGGAAUGGAGCGUCAUAGAGGGUGAGAAUCCCGUCUUUGGCACGGACACCCAGGGCUUCUGUGAGGCGCUCUCGAAGAGUCGAGUUGUUUGGGAAUGCAGCUCAAAAUGGGUGGUGAACUCCAUCUAAAGCUAAAUAUUGGUGAGAGACCGAUAGCGAACAAGUACCGUGAGGGAAAGAUGAAAAGCACUUUGGAAAGAGAGUGAAACAGUACGUGAAAUUGUUGAAAGGGAAACGCUUAAAGUCAGUCGCGUUGACCGAGACUCAGCCUUGCCUUGGCUUGGUGUACUUCUCGGCUGACGGGCCAGCAUCAAUUUUGAUCCUUGGAUAAUGGCAGGAGAAAGGUGGCACCUUUAUAGGUGUGUUAUAGUCUCCCGUCGGAUACAAGGGUUGGGAUUGAGGAACUCAGCACGCACCUCUUGGUGUCGGGGCCUCGGCUCACGUUACGUGCUUAGGAUGUUGGCGUAAUGGCUUUAAACGACCCGUCU
Molecule: ribosomal RNA, 689 nt
Filed under: uncultured Russula
Lineage: Eukaryota; Fungi; Basidiomycota; Agaricomycetes; Russulales; Russulaceae
Description: eukaryotic LSU rRNA
Rfam family: Eukaryotic large subunit ribosomal RNA
Source: RNAcentral